This 24-nucleotide microRNA is filed under the name Glycine max (soybean). RNAcentral describes it as "gma-miR4387a". Lineage: Eukaryota; Viridiplantae; Streptophyta; Magnoliopsida; Fabales; Fabaceae. The record is from miRBase by way of RNAcentral.
AACAAGACGUGAUGACGUGACACU